CCGGGACAUCGUGCCCGUCUCUGAAGUGAUGCGUGACGAGGGCUCCUCUGCAUGCUAGCGGUGCGCUGAUGCUGUGAAGUUUGUAUUUUCUAAAGCGACGAAACUAGGCUGCCGGGGCGAUGAGCUAGGAUUUGCGUCAGGAGGGCCGGAUUCCGCGUCUCUCCCGGGCAGGGGCGGCGGCGGUGGGUAGCCUCGUAGCGGCGCAAAUUCGGUGCAUGGUGGCGAGGGAAGUUAUGCGCCGCCCGGAUGGGAGCGGGGAACCUCACGGCGGCGGGAUCGCCGGAGUUGACGCCCGACGGUGGCAAGGACAACACAGG
Molecule: long non-coding RNA, 317 nt
Filed under: Spirodela polyrhiza (greater duckweed)
Lineage: Eukaryota; Viridiplantae; Streptophyta; Magnoliopsida; Alismatales; Araceae
Description: long non-coding RNA (SPOL_LNC001442)
Source: RNAcentral